AGGGUUGUUUCUGUAAUGUCCGCGAAAUAUCUCCAAGGCCCCCUGUACUCUCCUCUGCCUUCCAGACGAACUCGCCUCGCUUCUCGUCUCCCGUCCCCUCCGCUUUCCACCCGCGGCCGCCGCCGCCGCCGCUCACCUUGCCGUGCCCGGGCCCUUGCCCAGCAUGUGGGGUAGCACCGACGGUGGAACGCCGGAGGUCACCCUCGAGACCUCCAUGGGCGCCGUCACUGUUGAGGU
RNAcentral lists this long non-coding RNA (237 nucleotides) under Sorghum bicolor (sorghum). RNAcentral's name for it is "long non-coding RNA (SBIC_LNC013322)". Lineage: Eukaryota; Viridiplantae; Streptophyta; Magnoliopsida; Poales; Poaceae. The record is from RNAcentral.